This 433-nucleotide ribosomal RNA is filed under the name uncultured bacterium. RNAcentral's name for it is "partial 16S ribosomal RNA". It matches the Rfam family "Bacterial small subunit ribosomal RNA", at positions 29 to 507 of the family's 1533-position model. The record is from RNAcentral.
AACGAACGCUGGCGGCAUGCCUAACACAUGCAAGUCGAACGAAACCUUCGGGUCUAGUGGCGCACGGGUGCGUAACGCGUGGGAACCUGCCCUUAGGUUCGGAAUAACUCCCCGAAAGGGGUGCUAAUACCGGAUAAUGUCUUCGGACGAAAGAUUUAUCGCCUUUGGAUGGGCCCGCGUUGGAUUCGCUAGUUGGUAGGGUAAAAGCCUACCAAGGCGACGAUCCAUAGCUGGUCUGAGAGGAGGGUCAGCCACACUGGGACUGAGACACGGCCCAGAAUCCUACGGGAGGCAGCAGUGGGGAAUAUUGGAAAAUGGGCGAAAGCCUGAUCCAGCAAUGCCGCGUGAGUGAUGAAGGCCUUAGGGUUGUAAAGCUCUUUUAACCGGGAUGAUAAUGACAGUACCGGGAGAAUAAGCUCCGGCUAACUCCGUG